Molecule: ribosomal RNA, 117 nt
Filed under: Rhinopithecus bieti (black snub-nosed monkey)
Lineage: Eukaryota; Metazoa; Chordata; Mammalia; Primates; Cercopithecidae
Source: RNAcentral
GUCUAUGGCCAUACCACCCUGAACGUGCCCGAUCUUGUCUGAUCCCGGAAGCUAAGCAGGGUCGGGCCUCGUUAGUACUUGGAUGGGAGACUUGUGUUCAAGGAAUUACUCUGGCUU